AUUGAACGCUGGCGGCAGGCUUAACACAUGCAAGUCGAGCGGGGUGAUGGUGCUUGCACUAUCACUUAGCGGCGGACGGGUGAGUAAUGCUUAGGAAUCUGCCUAUUAGUGGGGGACAACAUCUCGAAAGGGAUACUAAUACCGCAUACGUCCUACGGGAGAAAGCAGGGGAUCACUUGUGACCUUGCGCUUAUAGAUGAGCCUAAGUCGGAUUAGCUAGUUGGUGGGGUAAAGGCCUACCAAGGCGACGAUCUGUAGCGGGUCUGAGAGGAUGAUCCGCCACACUGGGACUGAGACACGGCCCAGACUCCUACGGGAGGCAGCAGUGGGGAAUAUUGGACAAUGGGGGGAACCCUGAUCCAGCCAUGCUGCGUGUGUGAAGAAGGCCUUACGGUUGUAAAGCACUUUAAGCGAGGAGGAGGCUCUUUUGGUUAAUACCCAAGAUGAGUGGACGUUACUCGCAGAAUGAGCACCGGCUAACUCUGUGCCAGCCGCCGCAGUAA
This 503-nucleotide ribosomal RNA is filed under the name uncultured bacterium. Its description in RNAcentral is "partial 16S ribosomal RNA". It matches the Rfam family "Bacterial small subunit ribosomal RNA", at positions 30 to 523 of the family's 1533-position model. The record is from RNAcentral.